This 874-nucleotide ribosomal RNA is filed under the name uncultured bacterium. RNAcentral describes it as "bacterial SSU rRNA". It matches the Rfam family "Bacterial small subunit ribosomal RNA", at positions 42 to 890 of the family's 1533-position model. The record is from RNAcentral.
GCGUGCCUAACACAUGCAAGUCGAACGAGAAAGCUCCUUCGGGAGUUAGUAGAGUGGCGCACGGGUGAGUAACACGUGGAUAAUCUGCCUGAUAAUCUGGGAUAACAUUUCGAAAGGGAUGCUAAUACCGGAUAAGCCCACAGCCUCUUCGGAGGCAGCGGGAAAAGAUGGCCUCUUCUUGAAAGCUAUUGUUAUCAGAUGAGUCCGCGGUCCAUUAGCUAGUUGGUAGGGUAAUGGCCUACCAAGGCAACGAUGGAUAGCUGGUUUGAGAGAAUGAUCAGCCACACUGGAACUGAGACACGGUCCAGACUCCUACGGGAGGCAGCAGUGGGGAAUUUUGCGCAAUGGGGGAAACCCUGACGCAGCAACGCCGCGUGAGUGAUGAAGGUUUUCGGAUCGUAAAGCUCUGUCAAGAGGGAAGAAACCUCCAAUGGUUAAUAUCUGUUGGAAUUGACGGUACCUCUAGAGGAAGCACCGGCUAACUCCGUGCCAGCAGCCGCGGUAAUACGGAGGGUGCAAGCGUUGUUCGGAAUUAUUGGGCGUAAAGCGCGUGUAGGCGGUUUGUUAAGUCUGAUGUGAAAGCCCCGGGCUCAACCUGGGAAGUGCAUUGGAAACUGGCAAACUUGAGUACGGGAGAGGGAAGUGGAAUUUCGAGUGUAAGGGGUGAAAUCCGUAGAUAUUCGAAGGAACACCAGUGGCGAAGGCGGCUUCCUGGACCGAUACUGACGCUGAGACGCGAAAGCGUGGGGAGCAAACAGGAUUAGAUACCCUGCUAGUCCACGCCGUAAACGAUGGGUACUAGGUGUUGCGGGUAUUGACCCCUGCAGUGCCGAAGCUAACGCAUUAAGUACCCCGCCUGGGGAGUACGGCCGCA